This is a long non-coding RNA of Medicago truncatula (barrel medic), 643 nucleotides long. RefSeq lists it as uncharacterized. NCBI's taxonomy places the organism in Eukaryota, Viridiplantae, Streptophyta, Magnoliopsida, Fabales, Fabaceae. The transcript has 2 exons. The record is from RefSeq and is a predicted model, not a curated record.
ACCAUGACACACACAUAUGAAAGAGUUAAUAAUAUAUAUGCCCAUAACUCAUCAUUACAAACAUAGAUCAAGCAAGUGAAAAACAUCCCUCUCCAAGUCAACAAAACCCCAACAUGAAACCCUUGUGUACCUUAAUCAUUGUUGUGAUCUUUGCCCUAACAUUGAUCCUUUCCCUUGAGGUAAAUGUUGCAAAAGCUAGAACUUACCCAUCUUCAUCCAAUGUUUCAAAAAUGCUUUCAUCUUUCCAAUCUCUUUCACAUAAAAAAGGGUCAUCAAAAUCAUCUCAAGAAGUAUCUGCAAGCCUAAAAAGAAUACCACCUAGCAGACCAAAUCCUACUCAAAACAAGUUAAAGCCUAGGAUAAAGGAUUGAGCAGAGAAUGGUGGUGGUGGUGGUACAUGGAGCUCUUCUAGCAUCAACUAUGUUUUGAUCUAUAGCUUUAUUUUUUUGACUGUUGCUUAGCUUUAUAUUCUUAGAUUUUGUUAGUCAUAGUGAUAUAUAUAGUUGAGUUUAGAUUUCAAUGUAUGUUCUCUUAUUAAUUACCUUGAUGUUUUAGAUUAUAGAUAGUAUAGGAGCUAAUGAAUGUAAAGGAGAAAAAUAGUAGCCAUCAUAAUAUUAACCUCAAAAUUGUUGAGUUUUUGCAA